Molecule: ribosomal RNA, 440 nt
Filed under: uncultured bacterium
Lineage: Bacteria
Description: partial 16S ribosomal RNA
Rfam family: Bacterial small subunit ribosomal RNA
Source: RNAcentral
CCUACGGGUGGCAGCAGUAGGGAAUAUUGCUCAAUGGGGGAAACCCUGAAGCAGCAACGCCGCGUGGAGGAUGAAGGUUUUCGGAUUGUAAACUCCUUUUGUUAGAGAAGAUAAUGACGGUAUCUAACGAAUAAGCACCGGAUAACUCCGUGCCAGCAGCCGCGGUAAUACGGAGGGUGCAAGCGUUACUCGGAAGCACUGUGCGUAAAGAGCGCGUAGGCGGGAUAGCAAGUCAGAUGUGAAAUCCUAGGGCUUAACCAUAGAACUGCAUUUGAAACUGUUAUUCUAGAGUAUGGGAGAGGUAGGUGGAAUUCUUGGUGUAGGAGUAAAAUCCGUAGAGAUCAAGAGGAAUACUCAUUGCGAAGGCGACCUGCUAGAACAUAACUGACGCUGAUGCGCGAAAGCGUGGGGAGCAAACAGGAUUAGAUACCCUUGUAGUC